RNAcentral lists this ribosomal RNA (460 nucleotides) under uncultured bacterium. Its description in RNAcentral is "partial 16S ribosomal RNA". It matches the Rfam family "Bacterial small subunit ribosomal RNA", at positions 338 to 795 of the family's 1533-position model. The record is from RNAcentral.
CCUACGGGUGGCAGCAGUGAGGAAUAUUGGUCAAUGGACGAAAGUCUGAACCAGCCAAGUCGCGUGAGGGAUGACUGCUCUAUGGGUUGUAAACUUCUUUUAUAAGGGAAUAAAACGCGGCACGUGUGCCUUUUUGCAUGUACUUUAUGAAUAAGGAUCGGCUAACUCCGUGCCAGCAGCCGCGGUAAUACGGAGGAGCCGAGCGUUAUGCGGAUUUAUUGGGUUUAAGGGGUGCGUAGACGGGUUGUUAAGUCAGUUGUGAAAGUUUGCGGCUCAACCGUAAAAUUGCAGUUGAUACUGGCAGUCUUGAGUACAGGUGAGGUAGGCGGAAUUCGUGGUGUAGCGGUGAAAUGCUUAGAUAUCACGAAGAACCCCGAUUGCGAAGGCAGCUUACUAAACUGUGACUGACAUUGAUGCUCGAAAGUGUGGGUAUCAAACAGGAUUAGAUACCCUAGUAGUC